GACGAACCGUGCGAACGUUGUUCGGAUUCACUGGGCAUAAAGGGCGCGUAGGCGGACGGUCAAGUCGGGGGUGAAAUCUUUCAGCUUAACUGGAAAAGUGCCUCCGAUACUGACUGUCUCGAGGGAGGUAGGGGCAUGUGGAACUUCCGGUGGAGCGGUGAAAUGCGUAGAUAUCGGAAGGAACGCCGGUGGCGAGAGCGACGUGCUGGACCUCUUCUGACGCUGAGGCGCGAAAGCUAGGGGAGCAAACGGG
This 253-nucleotide ribosomal RNA is filed under the name uncultured bacterium. Its description in RNAcentral is "partial 16S ribosomal RNA". It matches the Rfam family "Bacterial small subunit ribosomal RNA", at positions 524 to 776 of the family's 1533-position model. The record is from RNAcentral.